RNAcentral lists this small nuclear RNA (107 nucleotides) under Pteropus vampyrus (large flying fox). The record is from RNAcentral. Lineage: Eukaryota; Metazoa; Chordata; Mammalia; Chiroptera; Pteropodidae.
GUGUUUGCUUCAGUACCCCAGGUACUAUAAUUAGAAUAGUGCAGAAAAGAUGGACAUGACCUUUGAUCAAGAAUGACAUGCAAAUUUGCAAAGCAUUCUAUUCAUUA